UCGAGAAUCUUCGGCAAUGGGCGAAAGCCUGACCGAGCGAUGCCGCGUGAGGGAUGAAGGCCUUCGGGUCGUAAACCUCUGUCACCCGGGACGAAGAAUGUGACGGUACCGGGAGAGGAAGCACCGGCUAACUACGUGCCAGCAGCCGCGGUAAUACGUAGGGUGCGAGCGUUAUUCGGAUUUACUGGGCGUAAAGGGUCCGCAGGGGGUUUGCCAAGUCCGAUGUGAAAUCCCCAAGCUCAACUGUGGAACGGCAUUGGAUACUGGCGAACUUGAGUGGACGAGGGGUGAGCGGAAUUCCUGGUGUAGCGGUGGAAUGCGUAGAUAUCAGGAAGAACACCGAUGGCGAAGGCGGCUCACUGGCGUGCAACUGACCCUCAGGGACGAAAGCGUGGGGAGCAAACA
Molecule: ribosomal RNA, 405 nt
Filed under: uncultured prokaryote
Description: bacterial SSU rRNA
Rfam family: Bacterial small subunit ribosomal RNA
Source: RNAcentral